CGUUAGCUCAGUGGUAGAGCACCCGCCUUUUAAGCGGGGUGUCGUGGGUUCGAUCCCCUCACGGC
This 65-nucleotide transfer RNA is filed under the name marine eukaryotic metagenome. It matches the Rfam family "tRNA", at positions 5 to 66 of the family's 71-position model. Rfam says of the family: Transfer RNA (tRNA) molecules are approximately 80 nucleotides in length. The record is from RNAcentral.